This 505-nucleotide ribosomal RNA is filed under the name uncultured bacterium. RNAcentral describes it as "partial 16S ribosomal RNA". It matches the Rfam family "Bacterial small subunit ribosomal RNA", at positions 28 to 507 of the family's 1533-position model. The record is from RNAcentral.
GACGAACGCUGGCGGCGUGCCUAAUACAUGCGAGUAGAACGCACAGUUUAUACCGUAGCUUUCUUCACCAUAGCCUGUGAGUUGCGAACGGGUGAGUCACCCGUAUGUAACCUUCCUGGUAGCGGGGGGUAACUAUUGUUAACGAUAGCUAAUACCGCAUAAUCUUAAUUAUUGCAUGAUUAUUAAUUGCAAGGUGCAAUUGCACCACUACCAGAUGGACCUGAGUUGUAUUAGCUAGUAGGCGAGGUAACGGCUCAACUAAGCCAAGGCACAGAGCCGAGCCGAGAGGGUGGUCGGGCAAACUGGGACUGAGAAAACGCCCAAGCUUCUACGGGAGGGAGCAGUAGGGGAUCAUCGGCAAUGGAGGGAAGUCUGACCGAGCAACGCCGGGUGAGUGAAGGAGGGCUUCGGAUCGGAAAACUCUGUUGUAAGAGAAGAACGGGUGUGAGAGUGGAACGUUCACACUGUGACGGUAUCUUACCAGAAAGGGACGGCUAACUUCGUG